CGGCGGCACACGCUGUCCCCGCGGACGUGCGGGCCAGAGCCGACGCAGCACUUGCCUUUUUGGGCUGCAUUAUCUCGGAUGAGCGUUGGGAGCUCGGCGCUGCCCCGCGGCCCCGUGCCAGCGCAGGCAGGGCCGCACAGCUCACGGCACACCCCAUGCAUCCCGUCACCUCGCCGCUCUCUCCUCCUCAGUCCAUCCCUUGGAAGUGGCUCUUCGGGGCAACAGCCAUCGCGCUCGGCGGCGUGGCCUUGUCGGUGGUCAUCGCGGCGAGGAACUAAGGAUGGUGACAGGGCGGCCCCGCGGCACAGGACCUGCGCCGGGAUGUGCCUCUCUCCUGCCAAGGGGCUUCCCUGGGGCUCCGCCGACCCCUCCCCACGGACUCGCAGUUGCAGAAACACAGAUGCUUUCUCCGCUGGAGGUGCCGGAUCCCCCUCCCGCCAUCCCCCCAUGUCCCUCCCGGCGCAGAUGGGGCGCAGCUGCGGGGACGGAGCCGCAGGCAGAGCAGAGACCCCCGAGCACCCUCCCGGCAAUCAGGGGCUCAGCCCCCAGCCCCGAGCGUGUCGGGGGGGAGCGGGAGCUCCUGCACACCGGUACGCCAUCGCUGUCCCCAGCCCGGUGACCCCCAGCAGGCAUCGUGGUCCUGCCGACACGGUGGGAUGGGCAGGGGGAGGCCCGUGGAAGGAAGGAAGCCGCGUGGGUAGGGACGGGCACAGCGGUUUCUACGGCUGGACCCGGCCGCGGGAAGGGAAGCGGUGCAGAUGUACCAUGGGGCACGUCCAGCGAGAUUCCCCCGUGUCCUGGGGGGCUGCCGGCGGCUCAGCCCUCCCGUGGGCACCCGCUCCCCUCCUCGGUGCUUCCCCAGAGUGUGCAAUGUCCAAAGAAAGCCAAAGAAACCCGCGGUGGGAGGGUUGUGCUGGAGACCUCCUCUCCAGGCUCUCUUGUAGGUCCAAGCUCUCGGGGUCCCCCUUUGCCCUGCAGCUCUCUCCAGCUUGGGGUCAGCCGUUGCCCCAGUCCCAGCUCAGAUCAUGGCGGGGGGCAGGGGGUGUAGCACUGUCCUCCUGCCCCAAACCGACUGUGAACUUCCCAAAUAAAGGACAAUUCCUUCA
This 1106-nucleotide long non-coding RNA is filed under the name Strix occidentalis caurina (northern spotted owl). RNAcentral's name for it is "lncRNA (ENSSOCG00000001531.1)". The record is from RNAcentral. Lineage: Eukaryota; Metazoa; Chordata; Aves; Strigiformes; Strigidae.